GAGGAUUUGAUCCUGGUCCAGGAUGAACGCUGGCGGUGUGGAUAAGGCAUGCAAGUCGAGCGGAACUAAUUUUGAAGAAGUUGAGAUUACAUCAAGGCGACGGAUUUAUUAGUUUAGCGGCGAACGAGUUAGUAACACCCUAGUCACGUACCCCGAAGUCAGAGAUAGUCCGCCGAAAGGCGGGGUAAUACCUGAUAUUGUCGCAAGACGAAAGCCGCAAGGCGCUUCGGGAUCGGCUUAGGUCCGAUCAGCUAGUUGGUAAGGUAACGGCUUACCAAGGCUAUGACCGGUAGGGGAGGUGAGAGCCUGACCCCCAACGACGAGACUGAGACACGGCUCGUACUCCUACGGGAGGCAGCAGUCGAGAAUAUUCGACAAUGGGCGAAAGCCUGAUCGAGCGACACCGCGUGCAGGAUGAAGGCCUUCGGGUCGUAAACUGCAGUAACCCCGCAGUAAUGCAAAUGAACGCGGGGCGAGAAGAGGUGGGUAACUACGUGCCAGCACCAGCGGUAAUACGUAGACCUCAAGCGUUAUCCGGAUUUAUUGGGCGUAAAGCGCAUGUAGGAGGUUUUGUGCGUCCUUGGUUAAAGCCCACCGCUCAACGGUGGAAGUGCCCGGGAUACGGCAGAACUAGAGGGAGUUAGAGGUGAAUGGAACCCACGGUGUAGGGGUGAAAUCCGUUGAUAUCGUGGGGAACACCAAAGGCGAAGGCAGUUCACUGGGACUUUCCUGACUCUGAGAUGCGAAAGCGUGGGGAGCAAAAAGGAUUAGAUACCCUUGUAGUCCACGCCCUAAACGAUGCCUGUUAGCUGUUUCGAGUAUCGACCCUCGGGGUGGCGUAGCUAACGCGUUAAACAGGCCGCCUGGGAAGUACGAGCGCAAGCUUAAAACUCAAAGGAAUAGACGGGGACUCGCACAAGCGGUGGAACAUGAGGUUUAAUUCGACGGUACGCGAGGAACCUUACCAGGGUUUGAAAUUCUAGGUGAAAGCCGGUGGAAACAUUGGCCCUCUCUCAAGGACACCUAGUUCAGGUGCUGCAUGGUUGUCGUCAGCUCGUGCCGUGAGGCGUUCCCUUAAUUGGGGUAACGAGCGCAACCCCUGCUCCGUGUUACAAGUGUCACGGGGAACUGCCCAGCUCAAAGAAUAGUAGAUAGGUUACAGGUUAAAGGUUUUAGUGGAAUUCACUAUCACCUACAACCUAUCACCUACAACCUAGUAUUUUUUGAGCUGGGAGGAAGGAGGGGAUGACGUCAAAUCCGCAUGGCCCUUUGAUACCCUGGGCUACACUCAUGUUACAAUGGUCAAGACAGCGGGCUGCCAAGCCGUAAGGCGGAGCCAAUCUCUAAAACUUGACCCCAGUUCGGAUUGGGGGCUGCAACUCGCCCCCAUGAAGCCGGAAUCGCUAGUAAUCGCGGAUCAGCAACGCCGCGGUGAAUACGUUCUCGAGUCCUGUACUCACCGCCCGUCACGCCAAGGGAGCCGGUAAUAGGUGAAGUUCGUUUACGCGAAUCAGCCUAGGAUCGGUGACAUGGGCGAAGUCGUAACAAGGCACGCGUAGCGGAAGCUGUGCGUGAAUCA
This 1579-nucleotide ribosomal RNA is filed under the name Candidatus Adlerbacteria bacterium GW2011_GWC1_50_9. Its description in RNAcentral is "bacterial SSU rRNA". It matches the Rfam family "Bacterial small subunit ribosomal RNA". The record is from RNAcentral. Lineage: Bacteria; Candidatus Adleribacteriota.